AUUGAACGCUGGCGGCAUGCUUUACACAUGCAAGUCGAACGGUAACAGGCCGCAAGGUGCUGACGAGUGGCGAACGGGUGAGUAAUGCAUCGGAACGUGCCCAGUCGUGGGGGAUAACUACUCGAAAGAGUAGCUAAUACCGCAUACGAUCUAUGGAUGAAAGCGGGGGACCGUAAGGCCUCGCGCGAUUGGAGCGGCCGAUGUCAGAUUAGGUAGUUGGUGGGGUAAAGGCUCACCAAGCCAACGAUCUGUAGCUGGUCUGAGAGGACAACCAGCCACACUGGGGCUGAGACACGGCCCAGACUCCUACGGGAGGCAGCAGUGGGGAAUUUUGGACAAUGGGCGCAAGCCUGAUCCAGCAAUGCCGCGUGCAGGAAGAAGGCCUUCGGGUUGUAAACUGCUUUUGUACGGAACGAAACGGCUCUGGUUAAUACCCGGGGCUAAUGACGGUACCGUAAGAAUAAGCACCGGCUAACUACGU
RNAcentral lists this ribosomal RNA (481 nucleotides) under uncultured bacterium. Its description in RNAcentral is "partial 16S ribosomal RNA". It matches the Rfam family "Bacterial small subunit ribosomal RNA", at positions 30 to 506 of the family's 1533-position model. The record is from RNAcentral.